AGAGAGUUGAUGUUCUUUUAACUUGAGGUUAUGGAGAAGAGAACAGAGCGUUAAGCAGAAUUACAGAGUUCAAGAGUUUUGCCUUCUCUUUAUGGUCAGAGAGAAUGAACACAUGUUCUAUUAAUUAUAAAGAAAAACGAAUGUGGCUUAAUGGUAUCUAAGACUUUUAUUUCCAUUCAUCUCUUCAAUAUCAACAAUGGAAGAAAUAGAGUUGACUUCCCAGUUAAUCAAUAAUUAAAGGUAACAAACAGAACCACAAUGACUGGAAGAGAAAGAGCAGAUCACCAUCAGUCAACAAGCAAAGCAUGCCAUGAUCAAAGCAGAAGAGAUGACGGGGGAGAGGAGAGUUUUUAAAAGACUAUGUUUAUGACUUCUGCAAUCUUGCAUCCUGAGUGUGGUGCUCACUGCUUUAACGGUUUAAUACUGAAGAGGCUCUUGUAACAGGGUGUGCAUGGCAAACAGAGGCCCCACACUGCAAACACAGGCCUGAGCAAGGCAAACAUUGUAGAUAGGUUUUGCCCUUUAACCCUUUUCCAUCUUCCUUGCUAAAAAAAUCCUUUAUGUUCAUUAAGCUACCCUCCAAGGUCUAUUCCACGAUUUGUCCACUGACUCAUUCUUGAGACAAAACACUGACGUCCAAAGUUUUAUUUUUUUUAAAGUCAUUAUUUGCCUAGCAUAUUCAAUAAGGAUUUAUCUACCCACCCUAGCAUAGACUCCUCAUUUUACCCCUUAAAAACUCACUCCUGCAGAAACACUCUCUUUUACUUUCUUGCUUGUGCUUUCUUGGGGUUGUUGUUGACUUUGCAGCCCACCAACUUGCCCCUCUCUGAUAAUCAACUCCAUGCUAAAAAUUUGGUGACUGGAUACUUCCAAUUCUAAGAUGGCUGACCCCUCAUGUAAAUAUAGUUCCUUAUGUUAUGGUGACUCCCCAACCAUGAAAGUGCUUUCAUUGCUACUACAUAGCUAUAAUUUUAAUAUUAUUAUGAAUCAUAAUCUACAUAUCUGUGUUUUCCAAUGGUCAUAGGAGUCUCCAGUUACAAAGCUAUUCAAAGCCUGAAGGGAUUCCUCUCCAUGGGUUGAGAACUACUGGUUUAGAGUGUUCAGUCAUGCUGACACCCAGCCUUCUGAACUCUUUAAUAACAAAUUAGCUUAAACAGUUAUCUGAAUGACAAAAACUAAAUUUUUGUACAGACCACUCAAAAUUAUUUUCAUUUAAUAAACAUUUAUUGUUGUGAUGUAAAAUGCACAUCAACUGGAAUCAGCUCUAAGGUGAGCCCGACAAAAGAGAAAAUAGCAUCCGCAGCAUGAUUAACACAUUAAGUACAUUGUGCGACAAUGUACUUGUACAAACAUUCCUUGGUUUCUAUCUAGAUUGCUUCCAUCUAAUGAGUAUGGUACUUGAAGAAUUCUUUUUGUGAUGGUGUGGCUGCUGGUAACAACAACAAAACCCAGGACAUUCUGAAGCUUGUAGGUCCUCAAUCACUAAGCUAUGGCCACAGCAUAUGACGUAAUAAGAUAUUCUCAACUCAAAGUGAUAGAUUAUAUAAAUUGUUACACAAUUAAAAUAUCAUUUUGAAUGGCAGCUGGAACUACUCUAUCUAGAAAGAUUGCUCUGACUUAGAGCAAGAGAACUGACUGCUACCCAAGAAGUUUAUCAUUCAAAUGAAUCAUGAACUGAUAUAAUUAGUAAAGCAUUUUAAUUUCCAAGAAAAAGAGAAGACUAAGACAUAUAUGCUCUCUUUGAUAAUUUCUUGGAAGUAAAAUCACUGCUUAUGUGUAUCUAGGCCACUUACCAUGUGAUCUAGGGUAGUCUUGAACCCCAGAUCCUUCUCUUUCUCCCAAGUGCUAGACUACAGAGAUGCUUUUACCAUGUUCUGGCUUAGUCUUGUUUUUACAAUGAGCAUUUUAAAUAGGAAAGUAAUAAAACUUACCUCUUAAUUUGAAAAAAAAAAAAAAAAA
RNAcentral lists this long non-coding RNA (1959 nucleotides) under Mus musculus (house mouse). RNAcentral's name for it is "predicted gene 15679 (Gm15679)". Lineage: Eukaryota; Metazoa; Chordata; Mammalia; Rodentia; Muridae. The record is from RNAcentral.